This 500-nucleotide ribosomal RNA is filed under the name uncultured bacterium. RNAcentral describes it as "bacterial SSU rRNA". It matches the Rfam family "Bacterial small subunit ribosomal RNA", at positions 17 to 507 of the family's 1533-position model. The record is from RNAcentral.
UCCUGGCUCAGAGUGAACGCUGGCGGCAGGCCUAAUACAUGCAAGUCGAACGGCAGCACAGCAGAGCUUGCUCUGUGGGUGGCGAGUGGCGGACGGGUGAGGAAUACGUGGGAAUCUGCCCAGUCGUGGGGAUAACGUAGGGAAACUUACGCUAAUACCGCAUGCGCCCUUCGGGGGAAAGCCGGGGACCUUCGGGCCUGGCGCGAUUGGAUGAGCCCACGUCGGAUUAGCUAGUUGGCGGGGUAAAGGCCCACCAAGGCGACGAUCCGUAGCUGGUCUGAGAGGAUGAUCAGCCACACUGGAACUGAGACACGGUCCAGACUCCUACGGGAGGCAGCAGUAGGGAAUAUUGGACAAUGGGCGCAAGCCUGAUCCAGCCAUGCCGCGUGAGUGAAGAAGGCCCUCGGGUUGUAAAGCUCUUUUGUCCGGAAAGAAAAGCGCCGGGUUAAUACCCUGGUGUCCUGACGGUACCGGAAGAAUAAGCACCGGCUAACUUCGUG